This 353-nucleotide ribosomal RNA is filed under the name uncultured bacterium. Its description in RNAcentral is "bacterial SSU rRNA". It matches the Rfam family "Bacterial small subunit ribosomal RNA", at positions 527 to 881 of the family's 1533-position model. The record is from RNAcentral.
GUAGGGGGCUAGCGUUAUCCGGGAUUACUGGGCGUAAAGGGUGCGUAGGUGGUUUCUUAAGUCAGAGGUGAAAGGCUACGGCUCAACCGUAGUAAGCCUUUGAAACUGGGAAACUUGAGUGCAGGAGAGGAGAGUGGAAUUCCUAGUGUAGCGGUGAAAUGCGUAGAUAUUAGGAGGAACACCAGUUGCGAAGGCGGCUCUCUGGACUGUAACUGACACUGAGGCACGAAAGCGUGGGGAGCAAACAGGAUUAGAUACCCUGGUAGUCCACGCCGUAAACGAUGAGUACUAGCUGUCGGAGGUUACCCCCUUCGGUGGCGCAGCUAACGCAUUAAGUACUCCGCCUGGGAAGU